GUAUUGCUGAAGAGUCCCAAAGUAGGACGAAACAGUUUUGCAGUAC
This is a non-coding RNA of Trichobilharzia regenti, 46 nucleotides long. Lineage: Eukaryota; Metazoa; Platyhelminthes; Trematoda; Strigeidida; Schistosomatidae. The record is from Rfam.